CAGAGUUGAUCCUGGCUCAGGAUGAACGCUAGCUACAGGCUUAACACAUGCAAGUCGGGGGGAAACGACAUCGAAAGCUUGCUUUUGAUGGGCGUCGACCGGCGCACGGGUGAGUAACGCGUAUCCAACCUGCCCACCACUUGGGGAUAACCUUGCGAAAGUAAGACUAAUACCCAAUGAUAUCUCUAGAAGACAUCUGAAAGAGAUUAAAGAUUUAUCGGUGAUGGAUGGGGAUGCGUCUGAUUAGCUUGUUGGCGGGGUAACGGCCCACAAGGCGACGAUCAGUAGGGGUUCUGGAGAGGAAGGUCCCCCANAUUGGAACUGAGACACGGUCCAAACUCCGUACGGGAGCA
RNAcentral lists this ribosomal RNA (353 nucleotides) under uncultured bacterium. Its description in RNAcentral is "bacterial SSU rRNA". It matches the Rfam family "Bacterial small subunit ribosomal RNA", at positions 8 to 349 of the family's 1533-position model. The record is from RNAcentral.